AUCUGAGGUUGAAGAAAGAAGAGGGGACACCGAUUAAGCAUAAUUGAGCAGAGCAAGAGGAUAGAAUCAGAAAAUGGAAGAAGUAUGAAUUGCCAAGUCCAAUGACCCACAGUGGACUUUUUUAAAAUCCAGAUGGUUACCUUUGGACAAAAAGGAUAUGGACUUUCAUCACAGCAGAAGCUGAAGUAAUUUGGAAGGUAAAUAUUUAAAAUAAAAAGAUGUUUGCCUUAGCUCCAAAUCACAUACAACAAUCAUUCUCUCUUAUAAAUUGAUUUGGGAUUCUCUAUGACAGCAUUUUUACCCUAGCUGGACUUUAUCCCCCAAACUCCAAUCUGCCCUGUAGAUGACAGAGCAGGACUAAAUUAUUUUUCCCCCUGAACACUAUCUAAGGUUGUGUUGCUUGCUU
Molecule: long non-coding RNA, 406 nt
Filed under: Canis lupus familiaris (dog)
Lineage: Eukaryota; Metazoa; Chordata; Mammalia; Carnivora; Canidae
Description: lncRNA (ENSCAFG00805019121.1, ENSCAFG00845020650.1)
Source: RNAcentral